UCGCUAUGUUGGCCGUUCGCAGCUGUUCAACGUUACGACGAACCAGGAGUUCGUGAACGGGCUCUCGAUCGAGAUCACCGAGGAGGGCGUCGAGACGACGAUCACGACCCCGUUUGAACCCGAGCGGCGCCGCAGGCUCACGGGCGACGCUGUCGAGGCGCAGUCGAUGCGCCGGUACUUCCUCGCCCUGGAGCAGGAGCACCAUCGCGCCCGCCGCAUGGCCGGCGAGUUCGCGUUCUUCAAGCCCAAGGUGCGCAAGAAGCCCAGGCCGGCGCCAGUGUGCGAGGCCUGUGGCGGCCGCGGCGGCAACGAGGACGAGGAUGGCAACUGGGAAGACUGCACGCGGUGUGCGCGGUGACCAGACAUCUGGAGCACUCGUAUGGAAUCACAAGGUCUGGGGCGUAAGCGACGUGCCACAGUUCCCGCAAAAGCGAGUGCCCGGCGUAUUCGAUUGACCGCACGAGGGACACGUCACACCGGCGACACGCUUGGUCGAGG
This 498-nucleotide unclassified non-coding RNA is filed under the name plant metagenome. RNAcentral describes it as "partial contains 5.8S ribosomal RNA, internal transcribed spacer 2, and large subunit ribosomal RNA". The record is from RNAcentral.